Molecule: non-coding RNA, 30 nt
Filed under: Rattus norvegicus (Norway rat)
Lineage: Eukaryota; Metazoa; Chordata; Mammalia; Rodentia; Muridae
Source: RNAcentral
UGAGAGUUCGACUGCCAUGGUUAAUGUGAA